This 253-nucleotide ribosomal RNA is filed under the name uncultured bacterium. Its description in RNAcentral is "partial 16S ribosomal RNA". It matches the Rfam family "Bacterial small subunit ribosomal RNA", at positions 524 to 776 of the family's 1533-position model. The record is from RNAcentral.
UACGAAGGGUGCAAGCGUUACUCGGAAUUACUGGGCGUAAAGCGUGCGUAGGUGGUUCGUUAAGUCUGAUGUGAAAGCCCUGGGCUCAACCUGGGAAUGGCAUUGGAAACUGGCGAUCUAGGGUGCGGUAGAGGGUAGUGGAAUUCCCGGUGUAGCAGUGAAAUGCGUAGAGAUCGGGAGGAACAUCUGUGGCGAAGGCGACUGCCUGGACCAGCACUGACACUGAGGCACGAAAGCGUGGGGAGCAAACAGG